Molecule: ribosomal RNA, 454 nt
Filed under: uncultured Allobrachymonas sp.
Lineage: Bacteria; Pseudomonadati; Pseudomonadota; Betaproteobacteria; Burkholderiales; Comamonadaceae
Description: bacterial SSU rRNA
Rfam family: Bacterial small subunit ribosomal RNA
Source: RNAcentral
GCACAAGCGGUGGAUGAUGUGGUUUAAUUCGAUGCAACGCGAAAACCUUACCCACCUUUGACAUGGCAGGAAUCCCGAAGAGAUUGGGAGUGCUCGAAAGAGAACCUGCACACAGGUGCUGCAUGGCUGUCGUCAGCUCGUGUCGUGAGAUGUUGGGUUAAGUCCCGCAACGAGCGCAACCCUUGCCAUUAGUUGCUACGAAAGGGCACUCUAAUGGGACGUGCCGGUGACAAACCGGAGGAAGGUGGGGAUGACGUCAAGUCCUCAUGGCCCUUAUAGGUGGGGCUACACACGUCAUACAAUGGCCGGUACAGAGGGUAGCCAACCCGCGAGGGGGAGCCAAUCCCACAAAGCCGGUCGUAGUCCGGAUCGCAGUCUGCAACUCGACUGCGUGAAGUCGGAAUCGCUAGUAAUCGCGGAUCAGCAUGUCGCGGUGAAUACGUUCCCGGGUCUU